AGUAGUCGUACAUACUAUUAGAGUGUUGGGCUGCUUCUAAUCAGUUCAAUUUUUCACUUGGUUCAUCAUUUUGGAGGUUUUUUUUUUAUGAAGCCCAUUUAUUUUGACUUGUAAUAUACUGCAAAUUUGAGUUGUAAAAUACCGGAGGAGAAUAAUCGAAUCUGGUUAAUAGAAUAUUUUGAAAUGAUUUGGGAGUGUUAAAAUAUGGUUCCAUAUAUAUUGGAAUGACUGGCAGAAUUGAUCCUUUGAGAAUGAAGAACUGAUCCUCUUUUGGGGCAAUGUGUUCUAUGAAAGUGAUAGACACAACUCAAUUCAACUCAACUAAG
Molecule: unclassified non-coding RNA, 326 nt
Filed under: Hevea brasiliensis (rubber tree)
Lineage: Eukaryota; Viridiplantae; Streptophyta; Magnoliopsida; Malpighiales; Euphorbiaceae
Source: RNAcentral